Bombus terrestris (buff-tailed bumblebee) is the source of this 2086-nucleotide long non-coding RNA. RefSeq lists it as uncharacterized. Lineage: Eukaryota; Metazoa; Arthropoda; Insecta; Hymenoptera; Apidae. The transcript has 2 exons. The record is from RefSeq and is a predicted model, not a curated record.
AAUAAAAAAAAAAAAAGAAUAUCGUGUAAUUAAUAAUGCAAUUGGUAAACGGAUGUAAUUAGAUGAUGUUGAUCGUUAAGAUUUUGUAAGUUUCACUGAAUAUUUUGCAGGAGAGAGCAUGAUGAUAAGAAUCGAGAUCUAUGUGUAGGUAAUGCCAUUUGUACUUGCAGUGACAUGGAAAAAGGAAUAGACAAUGCAGGAUAAUAUUUUUUCGUUUGAGGUUUCAUUUUCCAAGAUGAUUGGGUUUGAACUUUAUAUUUUAUUGGGUUAAGUUUAGGUCGGACUGUAUAAAAAUGAGGCUGUCUGCUGCAAAAUGAAAUGUAAUCGUAACAUUAAUUGUAUUAAAGCUUUCUGCGAAUAUCUCGGAAACUAAAGCCAAGUAGCGAUAAUAUGUAUAAAAAAAAGUUGUCCAGAAUGAUGACCUCGUCACAUCUCAAAAUCAUGAAAAUCGGUGAACUGUGUCCUUUUAUAUGUAAUUUCUUAAAUAAGUUUUAUAUUUACAUAAUGAAAAAUAAUACGAUAUAUAUCUCAAUCUUUAUUAUUUAUUUGCUAAUAGUAUUAACAAGAACACUGUUAUUGUUAACAAAACAACAACGUAUGAUUCGUAUUAUUCAUUUCCAUAAUGUAUUAUUCAAGGCUCGAACAAUUUCUCUAAAUAGUAUAACAUGAAUAUAUAUUAGCAGAUGAUAUAAUGUAGCUUUGUAAAUUUGGACAGUAAUACGACUGAAAAUUGAGCUGAUGAACCUAAAACUUAUGGUUGUUUGAAACUAGCAACGUAUCUAGAUAUGCGUUCAAUUGCAUGCACUCGACAAAUUUCAUCGAUUAAGUCCGAAACUAAACGUAACAUUGGAACUAAAACUUGGAACAAUGUUUACAACAACUAAAACAAUCUAAAACAACCUUCAAGUGCCCGAUUUUCAAGAAAAUGGGCCUAGUAAAAAAUCACUUUUUUUCGUGAUAAAUCAUUAUUUGUUUGGAACAAUCUUGGACUAAUGUAGAGCAACUUGGAACAACAACAAAAAAUCUGCCUCCUCAAAAUAUCUGAUAUGUAAAAUAAUGCGUAUAAGUUUUUGUUACUAUAAUUAUAAAAUUAUAUUCUUGAUAGCAUCGAAGUAGAUUUAGUUUAAAGAUAGCAAUAGUGAUCGUUGGAUAUUUCGUAGGAAUAAAUAAAUAUUAGAAUUUUAUUUAGAAAUAUAAAAUCUUUAUAUCUACCGUUGUUUGUGAAAACAUUCAUUAAGGAUACGUUCGUUCGCCGAUUAACACUAGAACUACCGAUAGUUAACACGAAGCUAUUUCUGCCAAAACCAGGAAAAAUGACUGAUCUUUAAAAGAUACGCAAUAAUAGAAUAUUUUCAUAUUUCUUGAUUUAUUACUUUCUUACAGAAGCAAUUACAUGUUAUGUAAUACAUUUUUGGUAUAUUGAUCCAUCUGGAACCAUAAUUCCUAAACGGGGGUUGACACAUUUAUAAAAUUUUAGAACCAGUCAUUUUCACUGGUAUUUGUAUAUAUAGCCUUCAUACAAAAUUAUUUUCAGUUUGAAUACAUAGAAAACGAAAUAAAAUUAAUUAUAUUAUUCUUUUAGUAAUCGUUGCGGGAGUCAUUACAUCAUUGCAGAAAGAAAGAUAUAACAUGAAUAGGGAAUUUUAAAAUAAAAUUGUAAAACCAGUCAAUUUCACUGGUGUGAUAGUUCUAGCGUUAAAUAUAAUCAUUCAUUGCCCGAUAAUUAAAAGUAUACAACAAAAAUCCUUUUAGCUAACUUAUUUAAUUAGAUUAGAAAUUCCUUAAAUUAAGGACAUUUCUCUUCAUUUUGGCAAUGAUACCGUAUAAUAAAAGAAUCGUCUUUUCUUACACUUCUUUACUUACAACACUAGAACAACCCAGAGCAAAAAUAUGAUAACUGGACACAUAUGUAAAGCUGCUUUUGCUCUUGCGUCGAUGUCGCUUGUCUGGCCGUGUUCCAGUCUUCAAAUUUUUGUUCUGGGUUGUUCUAGUGAUGUAAGUAUGUGUUGCAAAGAAGAACUUUUUACUGUAUUUGUUUGGAACAAUGUAGAAUAAACGUAGAAUAAUUUGGAACAACUUUAAAAAA